This 253-nucleotide ribosomal RNA is filed under the name uncultured bacterium. RNAcentral's name for it is "partial 16S ribosomal RNA". It matches the Rfam family "Bacterial small subunit ribosomal RNA", at positions 524 to 776 of the family's 1533-position model. The record is from RNAcentral.
UACGUAGGCAGCGAGCGUUGUUCGGAGUUACUGGGCGUAAAGAGUGCGUAGGCGGUGGCCCAAGUCUGGUGUGAAAUCUCCCGGCUCAACCGGGAGGGUGCGCCGGAAACUGGGUUGCUGGAGUGUCGGAGAGGCAGGCGGAAUUCCCGGAGUAGCGGUGAAAUGCGUAGAUAUCGGGAGGAACACCCGUGGUGUAGACGGCCUGCUGGACGACCACUGACGCUGAGGCACGAAAGCGUGGGGAGCAAACAGG